Molecule: ribosomal RNA, 466 nt
Filed under: uncultured bacterium
Lineage: Bacteria
Description: bacterial SSU rRNA
Rfam family: Bacterial small subunit ribosomal RNA
Source: RNAcentral
GGACCCGCACAAGCGGUGGAGCAUGUGGUUUAAUUCGAAGCAACGCGAAGAACCUUACCAGGUCUUGACAUCCUCUGACCAUCCUAGAGAUAGGACCUUCCCCUUCGGGGGACAGAGUGACAGGUGGUGCAUGGUUGUCGUCAGCUCGUGUCGUGAGAUGUUGGGUUAAGUCCCGCAACGAGCGCAACCCUUGUCCUUAGUUGCCAGCAUUCAGUUGGGCACUCUAAGGAGACUGCCGGUGACAAACCGGAGGAAGGUGGGGAUGACGUCAAAUCAUCAUGCCCCUUAUGACCUGGGCUACACACGUGCUACAAUGGAUGGUACAAAGGGUUGCGAAGCCGCGAGGUGAAGCUAAUCCCAUAAAACCAUUCUCAGUUCGGAUUGCAGGCUGCAACUCGCCUGCAUGAAGCCGGAAUCGCUAGUAAUCGUGGAUCAGCAUGCCACGGUGAAUACGUUCCCGGGUCUU